Molecule: transfer-messenger RNA, 347 nt
Filed under: Deferribacterales bacterium
Lineage: Bacteria; Pseudomonadati; Deferribacterota; Deferribacteres; Deferribacterales
Also listed under: 1 other name
Rfam family: transfer-messenger RNA
About the family: Bacterial tmRNA, also known as 10Sa RNA or SsrA, is named for its dual tRNA and mRNA-like properties. Its role is to liberate the mRNA from a stalled ribosome. To accomplish this part of the tmRNA is used as a reading frame that ends in a translation stop signal.
Source: RNAcentral
GGGGGUGCUCGGUUUCGACGGGGCACUGAGGGUUUUGGGAGCAUGCCAAGGACCGUGACCUUGUAAAAACGCGGACAAUUAUAAACGCAGAAGAAGAUUACUCUUUAGCGCUUGCUGCCUAAGUGUAGCACAUCUUUGGUUGCGGUUUCGCCUGUGGCGGACUAGAGGUGUAAAAUUAGCAGGCUGGUUAGAUGGUUUGCCCUGCGCCGUCUAAUAAGAUUUAGGGGCUAUUAUCAAGCUUAGCUCGGCUGUAAGCGUAGCUUGAAUGAAACUUAAAUGCAGCAUAAGCAUGUAGUUGCCUUUAGCUGUAGGUUCUUCGGACGAGGGUUCGAUUCCCUCCACCUCCA